This 91-nucleotide transfer RNA is filed under the name Enteractinococcus helveticum. Its description in RNAcentral is "tRNA-Ser". It matches the Rfam family "tRNA". Rfam says of the family: Transfer RNA (tRNA) molecules are approximately 80 nucleotides in length. Their secondary structure includes four short double-helical elements and three loops (D, anti-codon, and T loops). Lineage: Bacteria; Bacillati; Actinomycetota; Actinomycetes; Micrococcales; Micrococcaceae. The record is from RNAcentral.
GGAGGCGUGCCAGAGAGGCCGAUUGGACUUCACUGCUAAUGAAGGGUCUGUGUAACGCGGACCGGGGGUUCGAAUCCCCCCGCCUCCGCCA